Long non-coding RNA from Carassius carassius (crucian carp), 478 nucleotides. RefSeq lists it as uncharacterized. The transcript has 2 exons. Lineage: Eukaryota; Metazoa; Chordata; Actinopteri; Cypriniformes; Cyprinidae. The record is from RefSeq and is a predicted model, not a curated record.
CAGGAAGCAGAAAGUGUCUGACAUCACAUCUCAGUUUUCAGCUUCUCUCGUCUGCACACGGCAACUCUCACCAAUCGGUUACAUCCAGCCACAGCCCAUGUCCAGCACAGCUAAUAUAAGGGAUGAAUAGAGGGAGUAAAAGUAAAGAGGAUGAAAAGAGGGAGGAGUAAAGAGGGUAAAAAGAGUGAGGAGUAGAGUUAAAGAGGAUAAAGAGAGGGAGGAGUAAAGAGGGUAAAAAGAAGUUAAAGAGGGAGGAGAGAAUAUAAAGGAGGAAGUAGAGAGAUUUUGAAGAAGGGUGGAUGGAGGAAGUACAGAGGAUAGUUGGGCACUGAGAAUCAUUCCCACCUCCAAGUUAAUUGAUUUUUCAUUGUUGUUCUUUAAAAAAGAUUUUUUUUUUUAAGUUCUGUCAUUAACUGCAAUGUGCACUUUCAACACAAUGUGUCCAAGACUGUUAAUAUUAAAGAGUCAUUUAAUCGGA